Molecule: long non-coding RNA, 770 nt
Organism: Thalassophryne amazonica
Lineage: Eukaryota; Metazoa; Chordata; Actinopteri; Batrachoidiformes; Batrachoididae
Exons: 2
Source: RefSeq, a predicted model, not a curated record
UUUUGACUUCAAUUUUUUGUGUUUUCUGUUGUAGUUGGAUUUUCGGACACCACCGGGUUUUGACCGGACGCGUAACGCUGAGAUUGGCAACAAGGACAUCAAGCUGAAGUACCUGGAGGAAGCGUUUACAUCAGAGCACUGGCUGGUCCGGAUUUACAAGGUCAGAAAGCUGGAGAACAGGGACUGCGUGGAGCACAAGCUGAGAAACACCAACUCCACGAAACAGAAGUACACCUCCAAAAAGACAUCCAAGAGGAAGCGGGGCUUCAUCAAAAACAAGCUGACCCUCAAGAAGGGAAAGAAACUGACCAAGAAGUCUUUAUAGGGCGACGUCCAGCAUCUACGGAGGCACAUUGUGGACAAAACUAAAAAUCUAACUUCCAACAACAACACGCUAUAAAUUAACCAGUCAAGAAGAAACGGGAACCUGAGGUUCUUUUCAUCCUGAGCGUCUUCACCUGGAGCUCCAGGCUGGACAUGUGACAUCAUCCAGGAAAGGGCUGUAUGUACAGAACCCUAGCCGACCUUUGGCCUGAAACAGGAGAUGGAGCAAUGGCGGCUAAUCCUCUGCACACUGGUUUGAACCUGAGAAACUGCGACCUUUGACUUAUAUUUCUUUUUGUACUUGAAUGUGCCGGUGAGUGAGAGAAGGCAGCGAUUUGUUAAUCUGGGAGGUGAUUUUGGGACGCUGCCGUCAUGCGGUCUCCAAACAAAUCACAUGUUCAAAGCCCGGCCUCUUUUUUUUUUUUUUGACAUCUGAACAUUAAUUU